UAGUUAUCCCCGUUACCGGUUUUGUACUUUUAACUCGUUUCGUACUCCGAUAUCUCAAUGAUCAUAUCAUUCUUGUGUCUGGCCAGACGAUGAUAGAUAUCGUCGUACCGAGUGGGACCUAAGUGUAUCUCUCCACCGAUAGAGGAGCAAAUCCCAAUCUUGAACUAUCGAGUCAAUUCAUACUUUCCGGAGUACCCGGAAAUCACCA
Molecule: long non-coding RNA, 208 nt
Filed under: Brachypodium distachyon (stiff brome)
Lineage: Eukaryota; Viridiplantae; Streptophyta; Magnoliopsida; Poales; Poaceae
Description: long non-coding RNA (BDIS_LNC004967)
Source: RNAcentral